CUAGUUACCGUAGUUACCUUCCUCGAAAUUAACGAAGACUUGUCAGUUGCAUCUGGGAACUAAGGUUUUCAGCCCACGUGAAUAUCCUGCCUUCGUUUUUGCAUAAAGUAAUCCUCAAUUAUUUUCUGGGCACUGAUUGUCACAUCGUAAAACGACGCCAUUUACAAGAAAUCAAAUAAUCCAACUCGGCCCUGGUAACACAAAAUCGUGGGAUGAACGUAGUCAGUCGUGCUACGCCAUCUUUUAUCAGGAUUGAUUCAUGGAAGGAUAAAAGCUACUAAAAUUCAUUUGAAAGGGGAAAGAAUGUCGGGCAUCCAAGCGUAAUGAGGAUUGAUGAAUAGAAAUUAUGUAGAAACUACUGUUAGGCAAAGAAAUGCUUUUUCAACAGUUUGCAUUGAUGGCGGAAGACCUCAAGGAGAAAUCGAUUCGGUGGUGAUUAUUUUUCGCACAAGUGAAAAGUAAAACAAUUCUCUUGUUUUCUCUGAUGGGCUCGCUGAACGUUAGGUAAAAACCACAGUAUUUUCUUUUUGUUUUGUUUUUCACACGCAAGUCUAACACCGAAAUGUCAGCUUGAGAUGGGCUAGUCAUCCUGAAUCGGUAUAAAACAUCGUGAUGUUUUCUGUAAAAAGCAUCAGUUGCAUUCAGCAAAGACAACCGAAGACAACAGCGUCAUCUUAGCCAACAUGAAGAUCGUUAUCAUUGCUGCUAUCCUGUCCUUAGUUUCAUGCCAAGCACCAUAUUACCAACCAACGCACACUCCUUAUCCAGAAUACAAACCGGAGUACCAGGGAAACCCAUCAUACCAACCGGAGUACCACGCUACCCCUUCAUACAAACCGGAUUAUCCGGUACCGGCUUACAAACCUACGUAUCCUGAAUACAACAAACCAGCUUACCACGAGCCAACGUAUGCCUAUCAAGGCCCAUCAUACAGACCAUCGUACCCCAAGCCUGCCUACAAACCUGAAUACGAACCUUCAUAUCCUGAAUAUCAACCCUAUUCUCCACCUAAGUAUCCCUCUUACUAAACCUACUGGUGGACAAUUAAAAUGAAGGAUUAGGAAGGAUUAGCAAACAAUCUUUCAUAUCUAAUGAUGUAAUAGCAAAAAUAAUUCCUUUUUAUGUUUAAAUAAAUUUAAAAGUCUAUAUCACGUAAAA
Molecule: unclassified non-coding RNA, 1158 nt
Filed under: Daphnia magna
Lineage: Eukaryota; Metazoa; Arthropoda; Branchiopoda; Diplostraca; Daphniidae
Description: adhesive plaque matrix protein, transcript variant X1
Source: RNAcentral